CCUCCACGACUGUGAAGCACAGGAGUGCCUUCGGGAGCGCGAACACGAGGUGUGCAUGGCUGUCGUCAGCUCGUGUCGUGAGAUGGUUGGUUAACGUCCCGACAACGAGCGCUAACCCUUGUUCACUGUGCCAGCUACGUUAGUGGUGGGACUCAGUGGAGACCGCCGGGUCAACUCGGAGGAAGGUGGGGAUGACGUCAAGUCAUCAUCGCCCCUUAUGUCCAGGGCUUCACGUAUGCUACAAUGGCUGGUACAGAGAGUGGCGAGCCUGUGAGGGUGAGCGAAUCUCGGAAAGCCGGUGUCGACGCGGCCG
RNAcentral lists this ribosomal RNA (313 nucleotides) under uncultured bacterium. Its description in RNAcentral is "bacterial SSU rRNA". It matches the Rfam family "Bacterial small subunit ribosomal RNA", at positions 990 to 1299 of the family's 1533-position model. The record is from RNAcentral.